RNAcentral lists this non-coding RNA (1399 nucleotides) under Sclerotinia sclerotiorum. Lineage: Eukaryota; Fungi; Ascomycota; Leotiomycetes; Helotiales; Sclerotiniaceae. The record is from RNAcentral.
NNNNNNNNGCUUUGUGGUGUAGGAUCUCACAUAUGUGCCUAAAACUACCAAACUCCGGGGACAUCCUAAAGCUUCUGAUACCAAGCUUUAGUCGAAAGGCUAUACGUGGCUGAAGUAAUUACUCAGGUUUUUUAUUAGAUUGUUGAUUAAAAAAUCUAAUAGAUAAGGUAACAAGUCAGAAGAUGAUCGAAAGAGAAAUGGAUUAUCGCGGAUCUAAAUCAGUAAUACCCCAAAAUAUUACUGUAAAAGAGCAACGAGUAGACGGUAGUUGAUGCAUUAAGCCUGUCCCUAAAAACAAGGAAUUAAUGUGUUUAAGGUGUACUCUAAUGGGCUUCGAAAGAAGUUAUCAAAUCAGAAUCCUUUCUAAGGAAUUACAUAAAAAAGAUAGAAGGUUCUAUUCUACUUCAAAUAUUUACGUUAAUAAGAAUAUCAAUCCUUGAUUUUUGACUGGGUUUAUAGAUGGUGAAGGAUGUUUUAGAAUUUCUUUGACUAAAGUCACUAGAGCUAUAGGUUGAAGAGUACAACUCUUUUUCCAAAUAAACUUACACAAGAAGGAUAUAGCAUUGUUAGAAGAUAUACGUGACUACUUUGGCGUAGGAAUGAUACAUAAAUCUGGGACAAAUCUCGUCCAAUAUAGAAUACAGACUUUUGACGAAUUAUCUAUUCUAAUUAAUCAUUUGAACGAUUACCCAUUAGUUUCUCAAAAGAAAUGAGACUUUGAACUAUUUAAACAAGCUCAUGAAUUAGUUAAGAUGAAUGAGCAUUUAAAUAAAGAAGGUAUUUUAAAAAUAGUUUCUCUUAAAGCAUCUUUAAAUUUAGGACUAUCUGAAGCAUUGAAAUUAGCGUUUCCUAAUGUAAAGAAUGCCACGAAACUUACAUCUAGUACUGUAAGUAUUCCUGAUCCUCAUUGAUUUUCAGGGUUUACUUCUGCUGAGGGUUGUUUUAUGGUAGGUAUUGCUAAAUCUAAAGAGUCUACGACAGGAUAUCAAGUAUAUUUAUCUUUUAUAGUUACUCAACACGUUCGUGAUGAAUUAUUAUUAAAGUGUUUGAUUGAUUAUUUUAGUUGUGGAAGAUUAGCCAGAAAGAGAGAUGUUUAUGAGUAUCAGGUUUCCAAGUUUUCAGAUGUUGAAAAGUUUAUAGAUUUUUUCGAUAAAUACCCUAUCCUUGGAGAAAAGUCCAAGGACUAUUUAGAUUUUCGUACGGUGUCAGAAAUAAUGAGAUCAAAAGAUCAUUUAACUGAAGUAGGUGUUGCCAAGGUACGAAUAAUUAAACAGGGUAUGAAUAGAGGUCGGUAAUUUUAUUAUAGGCAAUUGGAUGAGAUUUUCUCUCUUAAUUCUAAGAUAAAUUUGCUAGGUCAGCAUUUACGCCUAUAGAUGCUGAUUGCCGUGNNNNNNNNNNN